RNAcentral lists this long non-coding RNA (345 nucleotides) under Androctonus crassicauda. The record is from RNAcentral. Lineage: Eukaryota; Metazoa; Arthropoda; Arachnida; Scorpiones; Buthidae.
CUAUAAAACAUGGACCAUUACAACAAAAAUGGAACAGAAACUAGUAACAAUCCAAAAAAGCAUGGAAAGGUAUGUUAGGAUUCACCAGGAGGGACCACAAGAUAAACACCUGGAUAAGAAAAUAAACCAGAGAAGAAGACAUAAUGCUUCUAAUAAUUUACACCAACACCCAUUGAACAAAGAGAAUCAGAGCAGUAACAAGACAAGGGAAAAGAUAUCCUGUCAAGCAAUACAAAUGAUGGAGAGAUGAUAUAAAAAAAGUAAUUGGCUCCUACUGGAUGCAGAUUGUGCAAGAUAGGUACAUCUGGAAACAAAAAGGAGGCAUAUAUAUAUAUAUAUAUAUCC